This 467-nucleotide ribosomal RNA is filed under the name uncultured bacterium. RNAcentral describes it as "partial 16S ribosomal RNA". It matches the Rfam family "Bacterial small subunit ribosomal RNA", at positions 29 to 507 of the family's 1533-position model. The record is from RNAcentral.
ACGAACGCUGGCGGCGUGCUUCACACCUGCAAGUCGCACGGAAAGGCCCUGCUUUUGUGGGGUGCUCGCGUGGCGAACGGGUGAGUAACACGUGAGUAACCUGCCCUUGACUUUGGGAUAACUUCAGGAAACUGGGGCUAAUACCGGAUAGGAGCUCCUGCUGCAUGGUGGGGGUUGGAAAGUUUCGGCGGUUGGGGAUGGACUCGCGGCUUAUCAGCUUGUUGGUGGGGUAGUGGCUUACCAAGGCUUUGACGGGUAGCCGGCCUGAGAGGGUGACCGGCCACAUUGGGACUGAGAGACGGCCCAGACUCCUACGGGAGGCAGCAGUGGGGAAUAUUGCACAAUGGGCGGAAGCCUGAUGCAGCAACGCCGCGUGCGGGAUGACGGCCUUCGGGUUGUAAACCGCUUUCGCCUGUGACGAAGCGUGAGUGACGGUAAUGGGUAAAGAAGCACCGGCUAACUACGUG